This 226-nucleotide long non-coding RNA is filed under the name Brachypodium distachyon (stiff brome). RNAcentral describes it as "long non-coding RNA (BDIS_LNC000322)". Lineage: Eukaryota; Viridiplantae; Streptophyta; Magnoliopsida; Poales; Poaceae. The record is from RNAcentral.
UCCACCUCAACCUUAGGAUUAUCUUUUUUUUUUUAGAUUUCCUCCAUUCGUCAACUUUUGAAACCCAACCCAACUCAUUUUUUACAUUUCGCCCAUCAUCUCAACCAGUUUUGGUCCUACAACUUAACCAAUUUUGGCCCAAAUCCAACUUAUUUUCUAUUUUUUUGUACCUUUGGCCUGAGGGCCUUGCUGGCCCCAUCAGGCUUAACAGGCCCGUGCCGGCCCG